RNAcentral lists this ribosomal RNA (1131 nucleotides) under Candidatus Harrisonbacteria bacterium. RNAcentral's name for it is "partial 23S ribosomal RNA". It matches the Rfam family "Bacterial large subunit ribosomal RNA", at positions 1 to 1058 of the family's 2925-position model. Lineage: Bacteria; Candidatus Harrisoniibacteriota. The record is from RNAcentral.
GUGAGUUCGAUGAAGGGCGUAUGGUGGAUGCCUAGGCAUAAUAUGGCGAUGAAGGACGUGGCGUGGCUGCGAUAAGCCUCGGUGAGCUGCUCAGCAAGCUUUGACCCGGGGAUUUCCGAAUGGGGAAACCUGGUAGAGUAAACCUCUAUCGCCUUGGUCCGUAAGUGGCCAAAGGAGUGCACCCGCUGAAGUAAAACAUUUCAGUAAGCGGAGGAACAGAAAAAAAGCACGCAAGUGUUAUUCCCGUAGUAGCGGCGAGCGAAAUGGGAACAGCCCAAACUGAACGGUUUUUAACCGUUUGGGGUAUAGAUUCGAACCGUUUUGCUUUUCUCACAGCACUCAGUGUUGUGAGAUUAGUGAAACAGGGAGUUACAAAAUUUUCACCUAGCAGAAGCUUCUGGAAAGGAGCACCAAAGAGGGUGAUAGUCCCGUAAGCGAAAGGUAAAAAUCUCUCGUUCGUUUUUCUUGAGUAACUCGAGGCAAAAAAACCUUGAGUGAAGACAGCAGUACUAUCUGCUAAGGCUAAAUACAUAUUAUGACCGAUAGUGAACUAGUACCGUGAGGGAAAGGUGAAAAGCAUCCCGGUGAGGGAGGUGAAAUAGUAUCUGAAACCAUAUGCUUACAAGGAGACGGAGCCUUAAUCCGGCAUGAGCCGGACGGGUGACGUCGUGCCUAUUGAAGAAUGAUCCAACGAGUUUAGAUGGAUGGCAGGGUAAGUGGCGCAGCCAUGGACCCAUAGGGAAACCGAGUGUGAAUAGCGCGAACAAUAUGUCGUUUAUCUAAGACCCGAAGCUAGGCGAGCUUGCCUUGAGCAGGGUGAAGCGGGAGUAAAAUCCCGUGGAGGCCCGAACCGGUAGAUCGUGUAAAGUCUUCGGAUGACUUGAGGUAAGGAGUGAAAAGCUAAUCGAGCCUAGUAAUAGCUGGUUCUCUCCGAAACAGUUUUAGGACUGGCGGUGAUGAAAAAUAUAAUGGGGGUAGAGCUACUGGUUGAGAGUCACAGGGCGAAAGCUCGGGCUUUCAGUCAAACUCCGAAUACCAUUAUGUAUGCGUCACUAGUUAGUACGUGGGGGACAAGCUCCAUGUACGCAAGGGAAACAGCCCAGACCAUCAGCUAAGGUCCCCAAAUCUUUG